UGCAGUCGACGGAAAGGCCCUUCGGGGUACUCGAGUGGCGAACGGGUGAGUAACACGUGGGUGAUCUGCCCUGCACUUUGGGAUAAGCCUGGGAAACUGGGUCUAAUACCGAAUAGGACUCCGGACUGCAUGGUCUGGGGUGGAAAGCUUUUGCGGUGUGGGAUGGGCCCGCGGCCUAUCAGCUUGUUGGUGGGGUGAUGGCCUACCAAGGCGACGACGGGUAGCCGGCCUGAGAGGGUGUCCGGCCACACUGGGACUGAGAUACGGCCCAGACUCCUACGGGAGGCAGCAGUGGGGAAUAUUGCACAAUGGGCGCAAGCCUGAUGCAGCGACGCCGCGUGAGGGAUGACGGCCUUCGGGUUGUAAACCUCUUUCGGUAGGGACGAAGCGCAAGUGACGGUACCUACAGAAGAAGCACCGGCCAACUACGUGCCAGCAGCCGCGGUAAUACGUAGGGUGCGAGCGUUGUCCGGAAUUACUGGGCGUAAAGAGCUCGUAGGUGGUUUGUCGCGUUGUUCGUGAAAACUCACAGCUUAACUGUGGGCGUGCGGGCGAUACGGGCAGACUGGAGUACUGCAGGGGAGACUGGAAUUCCUGGUGUAGCGGUGGAAUGCGCAGAUAUCAGGAGGAACACCGGUGGCGAAGGCGG
This 649-nucleotide ribosomal RNA is filed under the name Mycolicibacterium poriferae. RNAcentral describes it as "bacterial SSU rRNA". It matches the Rfam family "Bacterial small subunit ribosomal RNA", at positions 56 to 724 of the family's 1533-position model. Lineage: Bacteria; Bacillati; Actinomycetota; Actinomycetes; Mycobacteriales; Mycobacteriaceae. The record is from RNAcentral.